GACGAACGUUGGCGGCGUGCUUAAUACAUGCAAGUCAACUGAAGCACCGGUAGUAAUACUGGUGUGGAGGUGGCGCACGGGUGAGUAACACGUAGGUAAUCUGCCUUCAGGUCUGACAUAACCCCGAGAAAUCGGGGCUAAUAGCAGAUGAUGCAGCGGCUUGACAUCAAGACAGUUGUUAAAGCUUCGGCGCCUGAAGAUGAGCCUGCGUCNGAUUAGCUAGUUGGCGGAGUAACAGCCCACCAAGGCUACGAUCAGUAGCUGGUCUGAGAGGAUGAUCAGCCACACUGGAACUGAGACACGGUCCAGACUCCUAC
Molecule: ribosomal RNA, 317 nt
Filed under: uncultured bacterium
Lineage: Bacteria
Description: bacterial SSU rRNA
Rfam family: Bacterial small subunit ribosomal RNA
Source: RNAcentral